This is a long non-coding RNA of Megalobrama amblycephala (Wuchang bream), 797 nucleotides long. RefSeq lists it as uncharacterized. The record is from RefSeq and is a predicted model, not a curated record. NCBI's taxonomy places the organism in Eukaryota, Metazoa, Chordata, Actinopteri, Cypriniformes, Xenocyprididae. The transcript has 2 exons.
CUGGAGUAAUGAUGCUGAAAAUUCAACUUUGAUCACAGGAAUAACUUACUUUUAAAAAUAGAUUAAAAUAGAAAACAGUUAAUAGUAAAACUGUUUUAGAAUAUUAUUAUUUUACUUUAUUUUUUCCAUCAAAUGCUGCCUUGGUAAGUAGAAGAGACUGCUUUCAAAAGUGAAAAUGCAACUUCUAACAAUGUAAUUCAACCUUUCAGAUGCCAGAGGAGGAUGAUGAUGGCAGUGGUGACCGAGGUGACUGCAGCUCAGGAUGAAGAAGAGGAGGAACAUUUUGUAAAAAUCCAAAGUGAAUAUAUAGAGACCAUCCUCCUAUCCUUGCCUCAGAAGAACCUGAGAAAGACCCUUUUCCUCUUCUCUCACAGCUCUCCAUCAUCUACCUCUACAACACUGUUGGCAAGAGUGUUAUACACAGAUGAGGACACGGUAAUGAGAGAUCUCAAAUUCUUCCUGAGAAAGUCCGCAUGUUCAUUUUCUUGAACAAAAACUGUACAUGCAUUUUUGGGUGGGCCAAACUAUUAUUUGAAGAAAUGCUAAAAAUCUCUAUAUUGUUCUUUAUACAUAUCUUACUCUUUAUGAAUGUCAUAUUCUGGAUUUUUUUUUAGCUUUUGAGAAGCUCAAGGACUGUAUAUCUUUGGUAAUUGUGAUAUUGUCUGGCAUGUAAAGCAGUAUUAAAGCACAUUACCUCAGUAUAUUUGUAGCAGCUGCCUCAUACAGGACACUUAGGAAAUGGUUUAAUAUAUAUUUUUUGCAAAUAAAGUAAUAAAAUAUCUGCUGAAUCUUUUUCA